RNAcentral lists this ribosomal RNA (827 nucleotides) under aquatic bacterium R1-B20. Its description in RNAcentral is "bacterial SSU rRNA". It matches the Rfam family "Bacterial small subunit ribosomal RNA", at positions 8 to 830 of the family's 1533-position model. The record is from RNAcentral.
AGAGUUUGAUCAUGGCUCAGAUUGAACGCUGGCGGAAUGCUUUACACAUGCAAGUCGAACGAUGAACCUUAGCUUGCUAGGGGGAUUAGUGGCGAACGGGUGAGUAAUAUAUCGGAACGUACCUUGUAAUGGGGGAUAACUAGUCGAAAGAUUAGCUAAUACCGCAUACGCCCUGAGGGGGAAAGUAGGGGAUCUUCGGACCUUACGUUAUAAGAGCGGCCGAUAUCUGAUUAGCUAGUUGGUGGGGUAAUGGCCUACCAAGGCGACGAUCAGUAGCUGGUCUGAGAGGACGACCAGCCACACUGGAACUGAGACACGGUCCAGACUCCUACGGGAGGCAGCAGUGGGGAAUUUUGGACAAUGGGCGAAAGCCUGAUCCAGCCAUUCCGCGUGAGUGAAGAAGGCCUUCGGGUUGUAAAGCUCUUUCGCAAGGGAAGAAAACUUAUUCUCUAAUAUAGGAUGAGGUUGACGGUACCUUGAUAAGAAGCACCGGCUAACUACGUGCCAGCAGCCGCGGUAAUACGUAGGGUGCGAGCGUUAAUCGGAAUUACUGGGCGUAAAGCGUGCGCAGGCGGUUUUGUAAGUCAGAUGUGAAAUCCCCGAGCUCAACUUGGGAACUGCGUUUGAAACUACAAGACUAGAAUAUGUCAGAGGGGGGUAGAAUUCCACGUGUAGCAGUGAAAUGCGUAGAGAUGUGGAGGAAUACCAAUGGCGAAGGCAGCCCCCUGGGAUAAUAUUGACGCUCAUGCACGAAAGCGUGGGGAGCAAACAGGAUUAGAUACCCUGGUAGUCCACGCCCUAAACGAUGUCUACUAGUUGUUGGUGGA